Molecule: ribosomal RNA, 497 nt
Filed under: uncultured bacterium
Lineage: Bacteria
Description: partial 16S ribosomal RNA
Rfam family: Bacterial small subunit ribosomal RNA
Source: RNAcentral
GAUGAACGCUGGCGGCGUGCCUAUUACAUGCAAGUCGAGCGAACGGACGAGAAGCUUGCUUCUCUGAUGUUAGCGGCGGACGGGUGAGUAACACGUGGAUAACCUACCUAUAAGACUGGGAUAACUUCGGGAAACCGUAGCUAAUACCGGAUAAUAUUUUGAACCGCAUGGUUCAAAAGUUAAAGACGGUCUUGCUGUCACUUAUAGAUGGAUCCGCGCUGCAUUAGCUAGUUGGUAAGGUAACGGCUUACCAAGGCAACGAUGCAUAGCCGACCUGAGAGGGUGAUCGGCCACACUGGAACUGAGACACGGUCCAGACUCCUACGGGAGGCAGCAGUAGGGAAUCUUCCGCAAUGGGCGAAAGCCUGACGGAGCAACGCCGCGUGAGUGAUGAAGGUCUUCGGAUCGUAAAACUCUGUUAUUAGGGAAGAACAUAUGUGUAAGUAACUGUGCACAUCUUGACGGUACCUAAUCAGAAAGCCACGGCUAACUACGUG